Molecule: ribosomal RNA, 419 nt
Filed under: uncultured bacterium
Lineage: Bacteria
Description: bacterial SSU rRNA
Rfam family: Bacterial small subunit ribosomal RNA
Source: RNAcentral
CACAAUGGGGGAAACCCUGAUGCAGCGAUGCCGCGUGAGUGAAGAAGGCCCUUGGGUUGUAAAACUCUUUCGUCGGGGAAGAAAAUGACUGUACCCGAAUAAGAAGGUCCGGCUAACUUCGUGCCAGCAGCCGCGGUAAUACGAAGGGACCUAGCGUAGUUCGGAAUUACUGGGCUUAAAGAGCUCGUAGGUGGUUAAAAAAGUUGAUGGUGAAAUCUCAAGGCUCAACCUUGGAACUGCCAUCAAAACUUUUUAGCUAGAGUGUGAUAGAGGUAAGUGGAAUUUCUAGUGUAGGGGUGAAAUUCGUAGAUAUUAGAAAGAACACCAAAUGCGAAGGCAACUUACUGGGUCACUACUGACACUGAGGAGCGAAAGCAUGGGUAGCGAAGAGGAUUAGAUACCCUCGUAGUCCAUGCCGU